UGCUUUUAGCAGGACGAUUCCAAUCAUACAUAUGUAUGUAACUUCGCUCUCAAUUUUCUAUAUUCAUUUCACGAAAUCGUACAAGUUUUCAAUACAUAAGAACGUAAGCGUCGAUAAAUACAAAAGUAUUGUUUUGGGUUUUGAUUAAGUAAUUAUUAACCCAUAUUUUAUUCGCUGUAGUAUUAUUAAUUUGUUAAGGACGAUCUAUAAUCAAAUAGAAUAUCAUCAUCCCCCAUCGGAAUCCACAACACUUGGAAACGAAAAGUGAUAAAUAAUCAUGCCUGAUCAAGGAGGAACAGGAGGACUUAUUGCACUUGCAAUAGUUCUCGUCGUCAGUAUUUUUACUGUUAUAUUUACUGGGACACGGGAUGAAAACGCAGGAUAUGAAAAUAAUCAACGAAGACGUCGGGACUAAUUCAAAUUACUAGCCUUAUUCAUUUUGACGAGUCAAUCAAUUUGUCAGACGCCGCCCAAAAUUUUUUCAUCGAUCGGUUACAUACGUAAAUAUGUGGUAUAAGAAGUUGUUAUGGAUUUAUUCAUGAAUUUUUUCUGCUCAAUAAAUUACGUGAAUACGUUUUCCAUUAAAUAAAA
Molecule: long non-coding RNA, 591 nt
Organism: Folsomia candida
Lineage: Eukaryota; Metazoa; Arthropoda; Collembola; Entomobryomorpha; Isotomidae
Exons: 2
Source: RefSeq, a predicted model, not a curated record